GACGAACGCUGGCGGCGUGCUUAACACAUGCAAGUCGAACGGAAAGGCCCUGCUUUUGUGGGGUGCUCGAGUGGCGAACGGGUGAGUAACACGUGAGUAACCUGUCCUUGACUUUGGGAUAACUUCAGGAAACUGGGGCUCAUACCGGAUAGGAGCUCUUGCUGCAUGGGGGGGGUUGGAAAGUUUCGGCGGUUGGGGAUGGACUCGCGGCUUAUCAGCUUGUUGGUGGGGUAGUGGCUUACCAAGGUUUUGACGGGUAGCCGGCCUGGGAGGGUGACCGGCCACAUUGGGACUAAGAGACGGCCCAGACUCCUACGGGAGGCAGCAGUGGGGAAUAUUGCACAAUGGGCGGAAGCCUGAUGCAGCAACGCCGCGUGCGGGAUGACGUCCUUCGGGUUGUAAACCGCUUUCGCCUGUGACGAAGCGUGAGUGACGGUAAUGGGUAAAGAAGCACCGGCUAACUACGUG
This 468-nucleotide ribosomal RNA is filed under the name uncultured bacterium. RNAcentral's name for it is "partial 16S ribosomal RNA". It matches the Rfam family "Bacterial small subunit ribosomal RNA", at positions 28 to 507 of the family's 1533-position model. The record is from RNAcentral.